This 392-nucleotide ribosomal RNA is filed under the name uncultured bacterium. Its description in RNAcentral is "partial 16S ribosomal RNA". It matches the Rfam family "Bacterial small subunit ribosomal RNA", at positions 523 to 918 of the family's 1533-position model. The record is from RNAcentral.
CUACGUAGGGGGCGAGCGUUAUCCGGAUUUAUUGGGUUUAAAGGGAGCGUAGGCGGGAGCUUAAGUCAGCGGUUAAAUGGUGCGGCUCAACCGUGCCCUGCCGUUGAAACUGGGUUUCUUGAGAGUGCAAGAGGCGGAUGGAAUUCAUGGUGUAGCGGUGAAAUGCUUAGAUAUCAUGAAGAACUCCGAUUGCGAAGGCAGUCCGCUGGGGCACGUCUGACGCUGAUGCUCGAAGGUGCGGGAAUCAAACAGGAUUAGAUACCCUGGUAGUCCGCACGGUAAACGAUGAUUACCCGCUGUCGGCGGCAGACAGUCGGCGGCCAAGCGAAAGCGAUAAGUAAUCCACCUGGGGAGUAUGCCGGCAACGGUGAAACUCAAAGGAAUUGACGGGG